GAUGAACGCUGGCGGCGUGCCUAAUACAUGCAAGUCGAGCGAACGGACGAGAAGCUUGCUUCUCUGAUGUUAGCGGCGGACGGGUGAGUAACACGUGGAUAACCUACCUAUAAGACUGGGAUAACUUCGGGAAUCCGUAGCUAAUACCGGAUAAUAUUUUGAACCGCAUGGUUCAAAAGUGAAAGACGGUCUUGCUGUCACUUAUAGAUGGAUCCGCGCUGCAUUAGCUAGUUGGUAAGGUAACGGCUUACCAAGGCAACGAUGCAUAGCCGACCUGAGAGGGUGAUCGGCCACACUGGAACUGAGACACGGUCCAGACUCCUACGGGAGGAAGCAGUAGGGAAGCUUCCGCAAUGGGCGAAAGCCUGACGGAGCAACGCCGCGUGAGUGAUGAAGGUCUUCGGAUCGUAAAACUCUGUUAUUAGGGAAGAACAUAUGUGUAAGUAACUGUGCACAUCUUGACGGUACCUAAUCAGAAAGCCACGGCUAACUACGUG
This 497-nucleotide ribosomal RNA is filed under the name uncultured bacterium. Its description in RNAcentral is "partial 16S ribosomal RNA". It matches the Rfam family "Bacterial small subunit ribosomal RNA", at positions 28 to 507 of the family's 1533-position model. The record is from RNAcentral.